GACGAACGCUGGCGGCGUGCUUAACACAUGCAAGUCGAACGCUGAAGCUCAGCUUUUGUUGGGUGGAUGAGUGGCGAACGGGUGAGUAACACGUGAGUAACCUGCCCCCUUCUUUGGGAUAACGCCCGGAAACGGGUGCUAAUACUGGAUAUUCACUGGUCUUCGCAUGGGGGUUGGUGGAAAGGGUUGUUCUGGUGGGGGAUGGGCUCGCGGCCUAUCAGCUUGUUGGUGGGGUGAUGGCCUACCAAGGCUUUGACGGGUAGCCGGCCUGGGAGGGUGACCGGUCACAUUGGGACUGAGAUACGGCCUAGGCUCCUACGGGGGGCAGCAGUGGGGAAUAUUGCACAAUGGGCGCAAGCCUGAUGCAGCGACGCCGCGUGAGGGAUGGAGGCCUUCGGGUUGUGAACCUCUUUCGCUCAUGGUCAAGCCGCAACAAUGGUUGUGGUGAGGGUAGUGGGUAAAGAAGCGCCGGCUAACUACGUG
Molecule: ribosomal RNA, 483 nt
Filed under: uncultured bacterium
Lineage: Bacteria
Description: partial 16S ribosomal RNA
Rfam family: Bacterial small subunit ribosomal RNA
Source: RNAcentral